AUUUUAUAUACCCCAUUGUAAUGUAGAUCAACCAAGUUGGAAUUGUUACAGAGAUCAUUGAGGUGGUGAAGUAGGCAAAGGAAGUACAUUGGGGAGUGGAAACAUAAUUUCUGCCUUCCUGUUCUUGUCCCCAGUAGACAUCCAAAAUCCUGUGAAUCACGUAAUCCAAUGUACUCGAAGCCUACACCAGCCUUCAAAAAGUCGCAAAGUAACCCUUCCUUACCUAUUUCCUUCAUUUCUUUAUUCUAAUUUUUAUCUCAUUGAAAGGAGCUGGUUUGUUUCUUAUAAAACUAUUUGGUGUUCUUGUGGGGUCCAUAUUGAAUUUGCAGGUAUCAUUAACAUUUUAUUUC
Arachis duranensis is the source of this 350-nucleotide long non-coding RNA. RefSeq lists it as uncharacterized. The record is from RefSeq and is a predicted model, not a curated record. The transcript is spliced from 3 exons. NCBI's taxonomy places the organism in Eukaryota, Viridiplantae, Streptophyta, Magnoliopsida, Fabales, Fabaceae.